AUGCUCUCGGCUUUGUGCUUAGGACUUGUGACCUUGUUGAUAAUGCGAGGGACCAGUGCAGACUCGGUGACCCAGACAGAAGGUGUUGUUACCCUCCCCGAGACGGCAUCUCUGACUCUGAAGUGUACUUAUCAGUCCAGCUAUUCAGUUUCUCUUUUCUGGUAUGUCCAGUACCAAAACAAAGAGCUUGAGCUGCUCCUGAAAAGCUUAUUAGGAAACCAGAAGGUGACCAGCAGAGGCUUCGAAGCCACUCAUAUCUCGAGUGACAGCUCCUUCCACCUGCAGAAAUCCUCUGUGAAAACAUCAGACUCAGCUGUGUACUACUGCGCCCUGAGUGACACAGUGAGAGAGGCUGCAGGGGGAGCUGAACACAAACCCAAGGGCACAGAUGGGGUCAGGCUGUGGGCAGCUCUCCAGAGUUCUAUGCUAGAGGCAUCGUCAAAGUACUUUCAGCUCUGA
Budorcas taxicolor (takin) is the source of this 459-nucleotide non-coding RNA. NCBI's taxonomy places the organism in Eukaryota, Metazoa, Chordata, Mammalia, Artiodactyla, Bovidae. The record is from the annotation of a RefSeq genome assembly.